CCUACGGGGGGCUGCAGUGAGGAAUAUUGGUCAAUGGGCGGGAGCCUGAACCAGCCAAGUCGCGUGAGGGACGACGGUCCUAUGGUUUGUAAACCUCUUUUGUCGGGGAACAAAGGCGCCCACGGGUGGGCGGAUGAGUGUACCCGAAGAAAAAGCAUCGGCAAACCCCGUUCCAGCCGCCGCGGUAAUACGGGGGAUGCGAGCGUUAUCGGGAUUUAUUGGGUUUAAAGGGUGCGUAGGCGGACGGUCAAGUCAGCGGUAAAAAUGCGGUGCUAAACGCCGUACAGCCGUUGAAACUGGCAGUCUUGAGUGGGCGAGAGGUAUGCGGAAUGCGUGGUGUAGCGGUGAAAUGCGUAGAUAUCACGCGGAACUCCGAUUGCGAAGGCAGCAUACCGGCGCCCUACUGACGCUGAGGCACGAAAGCGUGGGUAUCGAACAGGAUUAGAUACCCUUGUAGUC
This 459-nucleotide ribosomal RNA is filed under the name uncultured bacterium. RNAcentral's name for it is "partial 16S ribosomal RNA". It matches the Rfam family "Bacterial small subunit ribosomal RNA", at positions 338 to 795 of the family's 1533-position model. The record is from RNAcentral.